This 1459-nucleotide unclassified non-coding RNA is filed under the name uncultured Neocallimastigales. RNAcentral's name for it is "partial contains small subunit ribosomal RNA, internal transcribed spacer 1, 5.8S ribosomal RNA, internal transcribed spacer 2, and large subunit ribosomal RNA". The stretch from base 680 to 1459 matches the Rfam family "Eukaryotic large subunit ribosomal RNA", at positions 1 to 630 of the family's 3401-position model. The record is from RNAcentral. Lineage: Eukaryota; Fungi; Neocallimastigomycota; Neocallimastigomycetes; Neocallimastigales.
GGCGGAAGUAAAAGUCGUAACAAGGUUCCGUAGGUGAACCUGCGGAAGGAUCAUUAAAAAUUGGACUCCAUUGGUGAGUUCAUUAAUAAUCCCUACCCUUUGUGAAUUUGUUUGUUUGAAUAAUUUUUUUCCAAAAAAAUUAUUGAAUGCCUUUCCUUGUUUUGGUGGAGCUUGUAAAGUGAAACCAGGCAGGGGAAUGGCAAACAAUAAUUAUUUUUGAAAAAGACCUUUUUUUAAAAUUAAACUUUUUGUAUUCAUUUGUCUAAAAUUAAUUUUUAUAAUAUAAAAACAACUUUUGACAAUGGAUCUCUUGGUUCUCGCAACGAUGAAGAACGCAGCAAAUGCGAUAAGUAGUGUGAAUUGCAGAAUACGUGAAUCAUCGGAAUCUUCGAACGCAUAUUGCACUUUUUUAGUUUACUAAAAAGUAUGUCUGUUUGAGUAUCAGUAAAAUAUUCUCAUGAAAAACAUUGUUUUUUCUAUGGUUAUGAGUGUUUUACAACGAUAACAAGUUGUUUCACUUUAAAUUCUUUGUUAUCAAAAAAAUCAUUAAAAGCUAAUUUUAAAGAUUUUUUAAAAUUGGAUAAAAUUUUCCCGUAAAAAGGAAUAACCUAAACAAUUUUAAAAAAUUAAAAUUGGUUUGAUUUUUUUGAAACCCAAAGGAAAAAAAACGAAAUUAACUUGAUCUCAAAUCAGAUAAGAGUACCGCCUGAACUUAAGCAUAUCAAUAAGCGGAGGAAAAGAAACUAACUAGGAUUCCCUCAGUAACGGCGAGUGAAGCGGGAAGAGCUCAAAUUUGAAAUCUUCAAGGUUUUACCUUGACGAAUUGUAGUUUAAAGAAGUGUUUUCUGUUGGAGUUUUGGUAAAAGUUCUUUGGAAGAGGACAUCAUAGAGGGUGAGAAUCCCGUAUUUGACCAUUAUCUCCAGCUUUGUGAUACACUUUCAAAGAGUCGGAUUGUUUGGGAAUGCAGUCCAAAAUGGGUGGUAAAUUUCAUCUAAAGCUAAAUACUGGCGAGAGACCGAUAGCGAACAAGUACCGUGAGGGAAAGAUGAAAAGAACUUUGAAAAGAGAGUUAAACAGUACGUGAAAUUGUCAAAAGGGAAGCGUUUGACACCAGUGUUGUUUUCUCGAAAAUCAAUUAAAAAAGGCCGGAUUUUGUGUUGUAUUGACUUUAUCAGCUUUCUGCACUCUUUUCUUGUCUUUUUUAAUGCACUUUUCGUUUAACAAGUCAACAUCAAUUUCUUUUGUUGUAAAAGGGUCAUUGGAAGGUGGCUUUCUUUUCGGAGAAAGUGUUUAUAGCCUUUGGCCUCUGCAAUCGGAGAGAUUGAGGUCUGCAGCGUAGAUCCUUCGGGGUUAGAUACAUUUGUGCUAAGUUAUAGCCUUUCAUAGACAACUUGUUGACUAUGAUCAGUCAUGUAGCUUACUCGCUUAUGCUAUUUUACCUACGCUUAGGAUGUUGAG